UUGCAAAUGAUGAGUUAAUCGCAACUGAUAAAAGAAGCUCAGUUUCUUGAGCUGUGUUGGAAAUCAUAAACUUCCAUGACUCUGAUGCAA
Molecule: small nucleolar RNA, 90 nt
Organism: Eutrema salsugineum
Lineage: Eukaryota; Viridiplantae; Streptophyta; Magnoliopsida; Brassicales; Brassicaceae
Rfam family: Small nucleolar RNA R72
About the family: snoR72 is a C/D box small nucleolar RNA, which acts as a methylation guide for 25S ribosomal RNA in Arabidopsis.
Source: Rfam